AAGUCGUAACAAGGUUUCCGUAGGUGAACCUGCGGAAGGAUCAUCAUUGAUUGACCUUGGUAUAUAUAUAUAUAUAAACCAGGUUAAAUUCUAUUCGAUGACUUAUAGACCCAACUUUAAACCGACGAUGAUGAUGACGACGGUCAUCAAUAUAUUAGUAGGUUUUAAUAUGAGUUGAGGUGAUCGUGUAUGUAUGUGAAAAUAUAUACACGGUCUGUGAUGGAUUAUGAUUACGAUCAUGAUGAUUAACAUCACACCUGGUGUAGAAAAGGGUCUAGACUUUUGACGAAGGGUCCGGAUUCUUACACCGACAUAUGGAACAUACUAGUUAAUGAACGGAACAGGAGUUUUACCGGAUCGUGGUUUAUACACACCGGAGAUAAAUGAUGAAAACUUUCGGCAAUGGAUCUCUUGGCUAUCC
RNAcentral lists this unclassified non-coding RNA (421 nucleotides) under fungal sp. RNAcentral's name for it is "partial internal transcribed spacer region". The stretch from base 1 to 46 matches the Rfam family "Eukaryotic small subunit ribosomal RNA", at positions 1786 to 1831 of the family's 1831-position model. Lineage: Eukaryota; Fungi. The record is from RNAcentral.